Molecule: unclassified non-coding RNA, 367 nt
Filed under: soil metagenome
Description: partial contains 5.8S ribosomal RNA, internal transcribed spacer 2, and large subunit ribosomal RNA
Rfam family: 5.8S ribosomal RNA (bases 1-121)
Source: RNAcentral
GAUGAAGAACGCAGCGAAAUGCGAUAAGUAAUGCGAAUUGCAGAAUUUCCGUGAGUCAUCGAAUCUUUGAACGCACAUUGCGCCUCUCGGUACUCCGGGAGGCACGCCUGUUCGAGCGCCAUUACACACCCCAAGCGUGGCUUGAUGUUGGACGAUGUCUGUGACAGGACAGGUCUGGAACGCGUUGGCGCCGCCGGCGGACCACGAGCGUAGCAAGACGAAAGUCAUCGCUCUGUUGGACAUCCGACGGUUGGCUGUCUUGGAGGAUGUGUUGGGGUUACCCGACAUGUCGUCUAACGAAUCACGAGUUUGGCCUCGGAUCAGGCGGGGAUACCCGCUGAACUUAAGCAUAUCAAUAAGCGGAGGA